UACAGAGGUCUCAAGCGUUGUUCGGAUUCAUUGGGCGUAAAGGGCGCAUAGGCGGCGGGGUAAGUCGGGUGUGAAAUCUCAGAGCUCAACUCUGAAAUGGCACUUGAUACUGCUCUGCUAGAGGACUGGAGAGGAGAUUGGAAUUCACGGUGUAGCAGUGAAAUGCGUAGAUAUCGUGAGGAAGACCAGUUGCGAAGGCGGAUCUCUGGGCAGUUCCUGACACUGAGACACGAAGGCCAGGGGAGCAAACGGG
RNAcentral lists this ribosomal RNA (253 nucleotides) under uncultured bacterium. Its description in RNAcentral is "partial 16S ribosomal RNA". It matches the Rfam family "Bacterial small subunit ribosomal RNA", at positions 524 to 776 of the family's 1533-position model. The record is from RNAcentral.